Molecule: ribosomal RNA, 253 nt
Filed under: uncultured bacterium
Lineage: Bacteria
Description: partial 16S ribosomal RNA
Rfam family: Bacterial small subunit ribosomal RNA
Source: RNAcentral
UACGGAGGGUGCAAGCGUUAUCCGGAUUCACUGGGUUUAAAGGGUGCGUAGGUGGGUCUGUAAGUCAGUGGUGAAAUCUCCGAGCUUAACUCGGAAACUGCCAUUGAUACUAUAGGUCUUGAAUUAUCUGGAGGUGAGCGGAAUAUGUCAUGUAGCGGUGAAAUGCUUAGAUAUGACAUAGAACACCAAUUGCGAAGGCAGCUCACUACGGAUAUAUUGACACUGAGGCACGAAAGCGUGGGGAUCAAACAGG